Molecule: long non-coding RNA, 1365 nt
Filed under: Gossypium barbadense (sea-island cotton)
Lineage: Eukaryota; Viridiplantae; Streptophyta; Magnoliopsida; Malvales; Malvaceae
Description: long non-coding RNA (GBAR_LNC006060)
Source: RNAcentral
UAGUUUUCUUCUUGUAAUAUACUGACUUGAUAAAAAUUCUUGCUGGUCUGGGUUUACAUCAAAGAGUUGAUGUUACUGUUAUUACAUGGAUUCCACGAUGCAUUAAACGGUAAAUUUAUUGCUACAUACCGUCACAUCUUUAGUGGAGGAUAACAGGUUAGUGAUCAAAACGCAAUUUAAAUUAUAUGUAAGUGACUCAAUUUGUGGUUUACCCUUCUUCUGUUGCAUAUCAAUGAGACUGAUUAGCUGUUAUGUAUCUCUCUUUCUCUAACAGUCUCAACAUGUGAAAUAUGCAAUAGCAGCUGAAUAUAUCUAAUCAAUGAGAACUUGCAUAUUUGCAUUUGAUCUUGAAUUCUGGGUUCCUGUCCUUGGGCUUAAAAGAUUUACAGGAACUAUAUAUGUCAUCCCAUGGAACCAAAGUGCUAAAGCCGCUCCUAUAACCAACGAAAAUAAUUUUUUACUAAAAUAUAUAAAUUUUGUAUAACGCAAUGAGUAGGGUCAAUUUCAACUUACACUAAUGAUAAUUUUAUUUUUUUUAGUGAAAAUUAAUAAAAUAAAAUUAAAGGGAGUUUUGAAAUUAAAAACAAAAAUUAAAAUUAAAUCUAUGUAAAAAAAUAUUGCAAAAUAAAAUUUGAGGUUAUCAAUAUAAUGAGAAUCUAAUCAAAGAUAAAAUCUCAGUUUUGAUUUAUAGGUUUGAUUAUCGGUUCAAAGAUAAUUUGGUAUUCUAUAAUAAAUUAGUUAUAACUACCAACGAAGCAUCUAGAAACCAAUCUCUCCUUACCUUCUUGAUAACUCAGAGGAAACUCGUUGAAAUUAUUUUCAUUAUUAGUAAACAAACCAAUAAGUUUUCAUUGCGUUAUCGGUUCGUAAAUUUAAAGCCCGUACUUUAAGCAAACUAAGGGUUCAAGAAUAAUUGAGAAGAUCGUGUUGGUAGAAAGUCGGGAAAUGACUAAGUCCUCUUAGCCUAAAACAUUGGUACUAAUUUGGUAAAGGGUUUAUUGAUAUAAUUAACACGACGACUUAAUUUUAUAAAAAAAAUUAAUUUUUUCGUUGUGCACCAAAAUCAUUUUCUAAACCAAAAUUUUCUAACAUGAAGAGGAAUCUUAGUACUUGUUUCAUCAAAUCAUAUGAGAUUCUUGAGAGAGAUGGUCCUCCUAUAGUUUAUCGAUUAACAUUACCACUUGAGUUAGAUUGUAUUCAUAAUCAUGUUUCAGAGGUAUAGAUCGGACCCUUCUCAUGUUAUUCCUGCUAAAUCUAUAGAAGUGCAACCACAAUUGGCUUAUGAAGAAGAGACUACUUGAGAACCAAAGGAGAUCAAGUGACAACAACAUCCACAACUUUUUUCAAGUAAAUUUUGAGGACACA